ACCCUUCCGGGGAGCUUGCACAGGUGCUGCAUGGCUGUCGUCAGCUCGUGUCGUGAGAUGUUCGGUUAAGUCCGCUAACGAGCGCAACCCUCGCUGUGUGUUAUAUGUGUCACACGGGACUGCCGGUCUUAAGCCGGAGGAAGGUGGGGAUGAUGUCAAGUCAGCAUGGCCUUUAUAUCCUGGGCUACACACACGCUACAAUGGCCAACACAAUAGGUUGCUAAGCCGCGAGGUGGCGCCAAUCCAUAAAGUUGGUCUCAGUUCAGAUUGUAGGCUGCAACCCGCCUGCAUGAAGAUGGAGUUGCUAGUAACCGCAGGUCAGCUAUACUGCGGUGAAUACGUUCCCGGGGCUU
RNAcentral lists this ribosomal RNA (353 nucleotides) under uncultured Leptolinea sp. Its description in RNAcentral is "bacterial SSU rRNA". It matches the Rfam family "Bacterial small subunit ribosomal RNA", at positions 1014 to 1382 of the family's 1533-position model. Lineage: Bacteria; Bacillati; Chloroflexota; Anaerolineae; Anaerolineales; Anaerolineaceae. The record is from RNAcentral.